RNAcentral lists this long non-coding RNA (1351 nucleotides) under Erythranthe guttata (spotted monkey flower). RNAcentral describes it as "long non-coding RNA (EGUT_LNC001110)". The record is from RNAcentral. Lineage: Eukaryota; Viridiplantae; Streptophyta; Magnoliopsida; Lamiales; Phrymaceae.
AAACCUCAACAAAAUCCGUACGAAAUUCGCCAUGGAAAAAACCUAAAAUCAUGAAACAAAAUAAAAAAUGCAGAAUACUAAAAAAUGAUUAAAUAGACUGCAAAUACAUUUGAAUGACAAUAAAUUAAUAUCAUCAAAAAUAAACUUAAAAUGCAAAAUCCAUACGCUAAUUUAAAAAAAGACUACGAACUAUAUUUUAAUGUACUACCCAGAACACUUAAAUCGGCUGUUAUAAACAAAUAAACCAACUAUCGAUCGGGAUCAAAAACAUGAACUCGACCACAGCGGACAAUUAUUCCGAUUAUUGCAUAAACCAACUACGAAGCUCAUAUAAAACAACUCUGGUCCGAUCUGCGUGAACCAUCCUCUUCUAACUUUGUCAAUCCUCUUCCAAACAAACAUCAUCCGCCAAAAAUAACGAUGUAUAUAUUAAUAUGAUACGACAUUAAAAAUGCAGAAUACUAAAAAUAUAUUAAUAUGAUCAAAAAUAAACUUAAAAUGCCAAAUUCAUACGAUAACUUAAAAAAUACUACGAAAUAUAUUUUAAUGUACUACCCAGCGUCCUAAAAUCCGCUGUUAUAAACAUAUAAACCAACUAUCGACCGGGAUCAGACUCAUGAACUCCACGACAGCGGACAGUUAUUUCAAUUAAUGCGUAAACCAACUACGAUGUUCAUAUAAAACAACUCUGGUCCGAUAUGCGUGAACCAUCCUCAUCUAACUAUGUCAAUCCUCUUCCAAACAAACAUCAUCCGCCAAAAAUAACGAUGUAUAUAUGACGGAAUAAUUUUGUUAAAAAACGUUCUUCUUAAUAGAAUCAAGUAUCAACACAACUCUUAAAAAUUUCUAACCACCGUAAUCGACAAUCCUAGACAUUGAGCGAAAAAUAAAAACGAAUAACGCAUUCAUACCCGGUUAACAACGUCCAACAACGAACGCUCAAAUUCGAUCCUAUUUCAACGACGGUGUAGAAAUCUUCAAAGACGAUAAAAAAACCGCUGGAACGGUGAAGAGAACCUUCGAAAAAUAUUGUACACGAUUUUGCCAACUUGGCAAAAUAUAUUAUAUAAUUUUCCUUUAACACCCCUGUUUUAUUUUUAAUCGGCAUUUAUUUCCUUUACUACGUGAUUUGAGAUUUGCUGAUACGUUGCCUAAAAUCACGGAAUAAAAUUACUUGAGAUCAUUGGUCGUUAUAUCAAAUCGUGUCUAUCAAAUCGUGUAGAAUUUGUUGUUUUUGAAGAUUUAUCCAGCGUUCCAUCGUUUUAAUCGCCUUUGAAGAUUUCUUCACCGUCAAGCGGGUAUGAAUGCGUCUUUUUUGGCUUUUAUUUUCGCUGUAUGUACAGGAUUGUCG